UACAGAGGUCCCGAGCGUUAGGCGGAAUCACUGGGCUUAAAGCGUGUGUAGGCGGGUUUGUAAGUACCUUGUGAAAUCCCACGGCUCAACCGUGGAACUGCUUGGUAUACUGCUUAUCUUGGGCCACUUAGGGGUUACCGGAACAAACGGUGGAGCGGUGAAAUGCGUAGAUAUCGUUUGGAACGCCAAUGGUGAAAACAGGUAACUGGGAGUGUGCCGACGCUGAGACACGAAAGCCAGGGGAGCGAACGGG
This 253-nucleotide ribosomal RNA is filed under the name uncultured bacterium. RNAcentral's name for it is "partial 16S ribosomal RNA". It matches the Rfam family "Bacterial small subunit ribosomal RNA", at positions 524 to 776 of the family's 1533-position model. The record is from RNAcentral.